GAUGCAUACCGACCUUCGCCCGAGCGUUUGCCGUCGGUCCCCACACCUCCUCGAGGCUCAAAGCGUUCCACCGCAUCCACCACAGUCGUCUCCGUUUCCUUCAGUACUCCUCCCCCUGCCUUCCUUCACCUGCGCCCUGGUACAUCUUUUGUUUUAUACCUCCCUGCGUGAGUGUGUCUGCGUGCGUGGCCUCCUAUCGACUGGCGCGGAGAUCGUCCUACGAGCUCCGCCCCCCCCCCCUCCCCUUCCCCCUCGUGUGUUCGCUGCAGGAUGGGGAAGAAAGGCUCACUGCAGCGGUUCCAUGCGAUGCCGCCGCGGCUGUCGCACCCGGACGCGCUGGCGGUAGUUGACCUCGCCGUGAACGGGGUGGUGGUGCGACUGCACCUCGCGUCGCGGUGCUUGCCGUGCGCGUACACGGUUGCGUUGCCGGUGGAGGCGGUGCGCGCCGACGCGCGGCGCUACAACGGCUUCACGGAGCUGCGCUUCUGCGUGGAUGUGCCGCAGCGCAGCGCGCGCUGUCGAGGCCUGUUCCUGGCGCUGCGCCUCCCAUGGGGGACUGUGCACUACCUUGGCCCGCUGACGCACAACGCCCCCGUGUCAUCGGCGCGCUUUGUGCGCGAGGUACCGUCGUCGGUGACGCUGCUGGUGGACGUGGACUGGUGCGCGCCCGUGGAGGUGGGCGCGCCGUUGCCGUGCGAGAUGCUACUGAAGGAGCACGUGCGGACGGUCAUCGAGAACGACGAGUUCUGCGGCUCCAUCGCUGCGGCGCACGUGCAGAACCUCGUGCGCGACCUGCCCUUCUACGACGCAGCGAUGCAGCGGUUCCGCAACUGGUCCGAGUACGUCAUCUUCUUCGCGGAGUGCUACCGCUGCUGGAGGAUUGUGCAGUAUGAGCCGGAGGAGCACGCGGCGCUGGGGCUGAGCAGCCGCACGCCGGCGGGGGAGCAGCGCAUGGUUGCCAACUGUUACGUGGACGACUACGCCCGAGCGGACGUUCACCGCGACCGCGUGAAGCGGCGGGCGCUGCAGGAGUUCCGUGACUGCCUGGCGGCGCGGGGUGUGGAGCUGAGCUGGCCGCCGCGGAAGGACCGCAAGGCGGAGCCGUUCUUCAACCUCUCACACAAGGUACUGCUGAAGCUGGGCUGCGAGAGGAGCUUCCGCACGCUGAACAGCGUCAACUACCUGCACGUGCUGGAGGGGCUGCGAGCGUCACACAGCGUCCUGUUCUCCGAACUGCACCCCGUGCAGGUGGACGCGGCCGUGUCGACGGACACGUCGCUGGAGCUGCUGCUGCGCCGAGUAACCGCGGCCAAGCAGCCCCCCUCCCCGCUGCAGGGGUGACGCCGCGUUCCCUUUUCACAGUGUUAGCACCGCUAGGCUGUGCUGUUUUUUUUUUUUUUGACCGCAUCCCCUCUCGCUUUGGCGUCCAUCUGCGGCGGUGUCACGCGAGACAAAGACAUCCAACGACGGCGAGGCUGUGCAGCUCAGUAGCGCAGGGGUGUAGCGGCACUCUCCCCUCUUUUCAUUUUCGCAGUGCACAAUUCUGCGUGCCGAGUGUCGGUGCAGGCGCCAUCGCCUCCCCUUCGCUCAUGUCUUAUAUACCUCCCCAAAUAUAGCCGGUUGACCUUUCAGACCGCCCUCCUUCCCCUGCUUCGUAUCCCGUCUCCCACCCACUUGCUUUCUGCGCCGCCCCCCACCUCUGGCCUCAUUAUCUAUGUAG
This 1720-nucleotide unclassified non-coding RNA is filed under the name Leishmania donovani. RNAcentral describes it as "gene:LdHU3.26.0170(CDS-product:hypothetical_prote in_conserved)". The record is from RNAcentral. Lineage: Eukaryota; Euglenozoa; Kinetoplastea; Trypanosomatida; Trypanosomatidae.